RNAcentral lists this transfer RNA (97 nucleotides) under Pseudonocardia hydrocarbonoxydans. RNAcentral's name for it is "tRNA-Pro". Lineage: Bacteria; Bacillati; Actinomycetota; Actinomycetes; Pseudonocardiales; Pseudonocardiaceae. The record is from RNAcentral.
GUGCCCCUGGACGGCGCCGGGCGCGCCGUCCGCUGGGCGCGGGCCGCGGCGGACGCCGAGCGCGCCCGCCUGGCGUUCGGCGAGGCGGGCGCGCACC